Molecule: non-coding RNA, 99 nt
Organism: Acanthosepion pharaonis
Lineage: Eukaryota; Metazoa; Mollusca; Cephalopoda; Sepiida; Sepiidae
Source: the annotation of a GenBank genome assembly
ACUGAAACAUUGGUUCCCGUACGAUCACCGAAGUUAAGCAACGUCGAGCCAGGUCACAACCUAGAAGGGUGACCGCUUGGGAAUACCAGGUGCUGUAAG